AACGAGGCCGACCUGCGGCUGAGUUACCUGCGGAGGGAUCAUUACCGAGUUUACAACUCCCAAACCCCUGUGAACAUACCAAUUGUUGCCUCGGCGGAUCAGCCCGCUCCCGGUAAAACGGGACGGCCCGCCAGAGGACCCCUAAACUCUGUUUCUAUAUGUAACUUCUGAGUAAAACCAUAAAUAAAUCAAAACUUUCAACAACGGAUCU
Molecule: unclassified non-coding RNA, 211 nt
Filed under: soil metagenome
Description: partial contains 5.8S ribosomal RNA, internal transcribed spacer 2, and large subunit ribosomal RNA
Source: RNAcentral